GAAGGAGUUGAGAGCGGAGAAAGUUAAGAGUUUAAGGUAACAUUUCAUCAUCGGACAAAGGAAGCAGUAAUUUUAUUGCCGUUUUUUGAAGUUUUUAUUUUUAUAUUUUUGCUUUAGUGGACUCAUUCCCUCUCGGUUGUGUGCAGCCAGCGAGUUUGACGGUGGAUUUGAUGACGGUGACGAAGGGCGGAGAAAUGAGAAUAAAUCCAUCAGUAUCUGAAACCCAAUGGUGUCAUCUAAUUCCUGGAGGGAGUGAUACCUGCUACCUGAAAACCCGACCUGCUCCUGCUCCUGGUGACCCACUUUUUACCAUUGAUGGCAGCAAGCCCAUGACCAGAUCUUGGUUUUCCGAAAGGCUGCGUGAACUCUGCUUGAGUUGUGGGCUGUCUCCAGCGGCGUACACUGCUCACUCCCUCCGAAUUGGGGCAAAUACAACUGCAGCACUGCUCGUGCCCACGCCUUCCCUUAAGUCUCUGGGCCGAUGGUCUUCGGCUGCUUACGUCAGAUAUAUUCGCUUCAACAAAAAUGAAAUUCUGCAGGCUCAAAAAAUCAUGAGUGCUCAUGCCCUGUAAUCCGGCUUCAAUAAAUGUUCAGCUGCACAUUAUGGUUGUAUCUGGUGGAUUGCUGGGAAGGGGGUUUGCUGCUAAUUAUCCUUUUAGGCUCUAAAUAGACUGACAGGGCUGAUUCUAUGGUAGAUGCUCCACCAUUCUCAUA
Epinephelus fuscoguttatus (brown-marbled grouper) is the source of this 714-nucleotide long non-coding RNA. RefSeq lists it as uncharacterized. The transcript has 3 exons. The record is from RefSeq and is a predicted model, not a curated record. NCBI's taxonomy places the organism in Eukaryota, Metazoa, Chordata, Actinopteri, Perciformes, Serranidae.